AGGGUGCAAAGCGUUAUCCGGGAUUUAUUGGGUUUAAAAGGGUGCGUAGGNCGGAAAUUUAAGUCAGUGGUGAAAUCCCGUGGCUCAACCAUGGAACUGCCAUUGAUACUGAAUUUCUUGAAUGCAGUUGAGGUAGGCGGAAUGUGUAAUGUAGCGGUGAAAUGCUUAGAUAUUACACAGAACACCGAUUGCGAAGGCAGCUUGCUAAACUGUGAUUGACGCUGAUGCACGAAAGCGUGGGUAGCGAACAGGAUUAGAUACCCUGGUAGUCCACGCUGUAAACGAUGAUCACUCGUUGUUUGCGAUAUAUUGUAAGCGACUGAGCGAAAGCAUUAAGUGAUCCACCUGGGGAGUACGUCGGCAACGAUGAAACUCAAAGGAAUUGACGGGGGCCCGCACAAGCGGAGGAACAUGUGGUUUAAUUCGAUGAUACGCGAGGAACCUUACCUGGGUUUAAAUGCAGAUUGCAUGAGGGGGAAACUUCUCUUUCCUUCGGGACUAUUUGCAAGGUGCUGCAUGGUUGUCGUCAGCUCGUGCCGUGAGGUGUCGGGUUAAGUCCCAUAACGAGCGCAACCCCUAUCGUUAGUUGCCAUCAGGUCAUGCUGGGGACUCUAACGAGACUGCCGGUGUAAACCGUGAGGAAGGUGGGGAUGACGUCAAAUCAGCACGGCCCUUAUAUCCAGGGCUACACACGUGUUACAAUGGUCGGUACAAAGAGCAGCCACUUGGUGACAAGGCGCUAAUCUCAAAAGCCGAUCACAGUUCGGAUCGAAGUCUGCAACUCGACUUCGUGAAGUUGGAUUCGCUAGUAAUCGCGCAUCAGCCACGGCGCGGUGAAUACGUUCCCGGGCCUUGUACACACCGCCCGUCAAGCCAUGGAAGCUGGGGGUACCUGAAGUCUGUAACCGCAAGGAGCGGCCUAAGGUAAAACUAGUAACUGGGGCUAAGUCGUAACAAGGUACCCGAAGGGCGAAUUCCGCGGCCGCUAAA
Molecule: ribosomal RNA, 990 nt
Filed under: uncultured bacterium
Lineage: Bacteria
Description: bacterial SSU rRNA
Rfam family: Bacterial small subunit ribosomal RNA
Source: RNAcentral